AAGGGUAUAGCUCAGUGGUAGAGUGUGUGCUUAGCAUGCACAAGGUCCUGGGUUCAAUCCCCAGCACCUCCA
RNAcentral lists this transfer RNA (72 nucleotides) under Camelus bactrianus (Bactrian camel). It matches the Rfam family "tRNA". From Rfam's summary of the family: Transfer RNA (tRNA) molecules are approximately 80 nucleotides in length. Their secondary structure includes four short double-helical elements and three loops (D, anti-codon, and T loops). Lineage: Eukaryota; Metazoa; Chordata; Mammalia; Artiodactyla; Camelidae. RNAcentral also lists the same sequence under 2 other names. The record is from Rfam by way of RNAcentral.